RNAcentral lists this long non-coding RNA (580 nucleotides) under Trifolium pratense (red clover). RNAcentral describes it as "long non-coding RNA (TPRA_LNC011507)". The record is from RNAcentral. Lineage: Eukaryota; Viridiplantae; Streptophyta; Magnoliopsida; Fabales; Fabaceae.
AAAAAGGAAUUAUACUGCCCGCCCGAUCUAUCCCUAUUCAAUGUAAUUCAAGAUCCAAUCAGUAGAGGCACACUACAGUAGUAGUGGAGUGAAAGGACUAUCAUUUCAAGAUUGAUCUAUUCCUUUUCCCUAGUCUAAUGAAUUUUUGAUUGAAUCCGAGACGAAAAAAUAGAUAGCAUUUGAGAGAACAAACCUCCCGAUGCUUAGAAUUUUGAAUCAAACAAAUCUCAAGAGCGCUUUCCCUAAACUUGCUUCUGCUAGAAAAAAAAUAAAAAAAUUUCUGUAUCAACAAAACGGAAUAAACUAUUUUCAUUCUCUUGUCGAUCAGGCGACAUGGGUUAUCCUUUACAGCACACAAAAAGGCUCCUAGCACAACAAUAACGAGCCAAAAACAAGCCAGCAAAACAGGAAAAAACACAUAAGCUUCUAGCAGCAGCAAAACAGAACAAAAGGGGUGGAUAGACGAAGCAACAACAGCAGAACAAGUAAUUGAUAAACAGAACUUGAUCUCUUCAUUGAUAAAAAUUGAACAUUACAUAGACCCACUUUUACUUAACCAUCCACUACAAUUUCUUCACUA